This 250-nucleotide ribosomal RNA is filed under the name uncultured bacterium. RNAcentral's name for it is "partial 16S ribosomal RNA". It matches the Rfam family "Bacterial small subunit ribosomal RNA", at positions 524 to 773 of the family's 1533-position model. The record is from RNAcentral.
UACGGAGGAUGCAAGCGUUAUCCGGAUUUAUUGGGUUUAAAGGGUGCGUAGGCGGAUUUAUAAGUCAGUGGUGAAAACCUGCAGCUUAACUGUAGAACUGCCAUUGAUACUGUGAGUCUUGAGUAUGGUCAAGGUAGGCGGAAUGUGUAAUGUAGCGGUGAAAUGCUUAGAUAUUACACAGAACACCGAUUGCGAAGGCAGCUUACUGGACCAUUACUGACGCUGAUGCACGAAAGCGUGGGGAGCGAAC